GGUGGGAACAUGCAUGCAGCAGAAUGAGUUGGGAGAGUGGACUGCAUUGUAUCACUUAAGACUCCAGUUGUAAAGAACACCUAACACUUCAGGAUGAAAUUAUACACCAUGUGUUAUAGAGGACUGCUCUGUAACAUGGAAGAGCAAUUUGCGGCAGAAGAGUGGGCAGAGGAAUGCUCAGAUUUUUCUUCUCUGACUUCGCGCACUCUGCAACUGUGGCCCCAGCUAAAUUUUCACACUCCAGGUUACUGGCUGAAGGCAGAACAAAAUAGAUCUGCACCCCAAAGAAGCAAGGGAACUCAUCUCCUGGAAAGAUACAUGUCCUAAGAGACUCCUGAGAUGGCAGGCAGCCAAAGACUGACCUCAUGAGAUCAACCUGACCCAGAUGAAACCCCAGGGGAUUUUCCAACAUGCUAAGCAGGUCAUUUUACCCCAACGUCCAGAAGAGGGGUGAUCAAGAGAAGAUUAUGCCAGGAAGAUGCCUCCUUUGAAGUUUGACUAUAAAGGAGACCCUUUAGGAUAGCUGAAGCGGAGAAGCCCCCAUCUGGAACCAGGAUAUUUUUGUCUAUGUUCUUGCUACUAUGGUUUUUGCCAUUAUUAUUAUUUGCUGAAUAUAUUUACCUUUUUGUAACCCUUGCCUUAAUAAAAGUAAUAUACAACAAUGUCAACAUUA
Hemicordylus capensis (graceful crag lizard) is the source of this 673-nucleotide long non-coding RNA. RefSeq lists it as uncharacterized. The record is from RefSeq and is a predicted model, not a curated record. NCBI's taxonomy places the organism in Eukaryota, Metazoa, Chordata, Lepidosauria, Squamata, Cordylidae. The transcript is spliced from 3 exons.